This 486-nucleotide ribosomal RNA is filed under the name uncultured bacterium. RNAcentral describes it as "partial 16S ribosomal RNA". It matches the Rfam family "Bacterial small subunit ribosomal RNA", at positions 28 to 507 of the family's 1533-position model. The record is from RNAcentral.
GACGAACGCUGGCGGCGUGCUUAACACAUGCAAGUCGAACGCUGAAGACCUGGCUUUUGUUGGGUUGGAUGAGUGGCGAACGGGUGAGUAACACGUGAGUAACCUGCCCUCUUCUUUGGGAUAACGCCCGGAAACGGGUGCUAAUACUGGAUAUUCACUGAUCUUCGCAUGGGGGUUGGUGGAAAGGUUUGUUCUGGUGGGGGAUGGGCGCGCGGCCUAUCAGCUUGUUGGGGGGGUGAUGGCCUACGAAGGCUUUGACGGGUAGCCGGCCUGAGAGGGUGGCCGGUCAGGUUGGGAAUGGGAUACGGCCCAGACUACUGCGGGAGGCAGCAGUGGGGAAUAGUGCACAAUGGGCGAAAGCGUGAUGCAGAGACGCGGCGUGAGGGAUGGAGGACUUCGGGUUGUAAACGUCUUUCGCUCAUGGUCAAGCAGCAACUGUGGGUUGUGGUGAGGGUAGUGGGUAAAGAAGCGCCGGCUAACUACGUG